GAACGCUGGCGGCGUGCUACUACAUGCAAUGUCGAACGCUUUUGUUUUCACCGGAGCUUGUCUCCACCGAAAACAAAAGAGUGGCGGACGGGUGAGUAACACGUGGGUAACCUGCCCUCAAGCGGGGGAUAACACUUGGAAACAGGUGCUAAUACCGCAUAACAAUCAGAAUCGCAUGAUUUUGAUUUGAAAGGCGCUUUUGCGUCACUUGAGGAUGGACCCGCGGUGCAUUAGCUAGUUGGUGAGGUAACGGCUCACCAAGGCCACGAUGCAUAGCCGACCUGAGAGGGUGAUCGGCCACACUGGGACUGAGACACGGCCCAGACUCCUACGGGAGGCAGCAGUAGGGAAUCUUCGGCAAUGGACGAAAGUCUGACCGAGCAACGCCGCGUGAGUGAAGAAGGUUUUCGGAUCGUAAAACUCUGUUGUUAGAGAAGAACAAGGGUGAGAGUAGAAUGUUCACACCCAUUGACGGUAUCUAACCAGAAAGCCACGGCAUAACUACCGUGCCAGCAGCCGCGGUAAUACGUAGGUGGCAAGCGUUGU
RNAcentral lists this ribosomal RNA (546 nucleotides) under uncultured bacterium. Its description in RNAcentral is "bacterial SSU rRNA". It matches the Rfam family "Bacterial small subunit ribosomal RNA", at positions 31 to 544 of the family's 1533-position model. The record is from RNAcentral.